UUCCUGGUGUAGCGGUGAAAUGCGCAGAUAUCAGGAGGAACACCGGUGGCGAAGGCGGGUCUCUGGGCCGUAACUGACGCUGAGGAGCGAAAGCGUGGGGAGCGAACAGGAUUAGAUACCCUGGUAGUCCACGCCGUAAACGUUGGGCGCUAGGUGUGGGGCUCUUUCCACGAGUUCCGUGCCGCAGCAAACGCAUUAAGCGCCCCGCCUGGGGAGUACGGCCGCAAGGCUAAAACUCAAAGGAAUUGACGGGGGCCCGCACAAGCGGCGGAGCAUGCGGAUUAAUUCGAUGCAACGCGAAGAACCUUACCAAGGCUUGACAUGGGCGGUAAUCCGGCAGAGAUGUCGGGUCCGUAAGGGCCGUUCACAGGUGGUGCAUGGUUGUCGUCAGCUCGUGUCGUGAGAUGUUGGGUUAAGUCCCGCAACGAGCGCAACCCUCGUUCCAUGUUGCCAGCACGUUAUGGUGGGGACUCAUGGGAGACUGCCGGGGUCAACUCGGAGGAAGGUGGGGAUGACGUCAAAUCAUCAUGCCCCUUAUGUCUUGGGCUUCACGCAUGCUACAAUGGCCAGUACAAAGGGCUGCGAGACCGUAAGGUGGAGCGAAUCCCAAAAAGCUGGUCUCAGUUCGGAUCGGGGUCUGCAACUCGACCCCGUGAAGUCGGAGUCGCUAGUAAUCGCAGAUCAGCAACGCUGCGGUGAAUACGUUCCCGGGCCUUGUACACACCGCCCGUCACGUCACGAAAGUCGGUAACACCCGAAGCCGGUGGCCUAACCCGUGAGGGAGGGGACUGUCGAAGGUGGGACUGGCGAUUGGGACGAAGUCGUAACAAGGUA
This 834-nucleotide ribosomal RNA is filed under the name uncultured bacterium. RNAcentral's name for it is "bacterial SSU rRNA". It matches the Rfam family "Bacterial small subunit ribosomal RNA", at positions 667 to 1498 of the family's 1533-position model. The record is from RNAcentral.